GACGUAGGGCGCGAGCGUUGUCCGGAUUUAUUGGGCGUAAAGAGCUCGUAGGCGGCUUGUCGCGUCGGCUGUGAAAACCCGCGGCUCAACUGUGGGCGGGCAGCUGAUACGGGCAGGCUGGAGUUCGGUAGGGGAGACUGGAAUUCCUGGUGUAGCGGUGAAAUGCGCAGAUAUCAGGAGGAACACCGGUGGCGAAGGCGGCAUCCUGGACCAACACUGACACUGAGGAGCGAAAGCCAGGGGAGCAAACGGG
Molecule: ribosomal RNA, 253 nt
Filed under: uncultured bacterium
Lineage: Bacteria
Description: partial 16S ribosomal RNA
Rfam family: Bacterial small subunit ribosomal RNA
Source: RNAcentral